This 442-nucleotide ribosomal RNA is filed under the name uncultured bacterium. RNAcentral's name for it is "partial 16S ribosomal RNA". It matches the Rfam family "Bacterial small subunit ribosomal RNA", at positions 338 to 795 of the family's 1533-position model. The record is from RNAcentral.
CCUACGGGGGACAGCAGUGGGGAAUAUUGGGCAAUGGGCGCAAGCCUGACCCAGCAACGCCGCGUGAAGGAAGAAGGCUUUCGGGUUGUAAACUUCUUUUAAGAGGGACGAGCAGAAGACGGUACCUCUUGAAUAAGCCACGGCUAACUACGUGCCAGCAGCCGCGGGAAUACGUAGGUGGCAAGCGUUGUCCGGAUUUACUGGGUGUAAAGGGCGUGCAGCCGGGAAGACAAGUCAGAUGUGAAAUCCCGCGGCUCAACCCCGGAACUGCAUUUGAAACUGUUGUGCUGGAGUACCGGAGAGGUCAUCGGAAUUCCUUGUGUAGCGGUGAAAUGCGUAGAUAUAAGGAAGAACACCAGUGGCGAAGGCGGAGGACUGGACGGCAACUGACGGUGAGGCGCGAAAGCGUGGGGAGCAAACAGGAUUAGAUACCCCGGUAGUC